ACUCCUACGGGAGGCAGCAGUGGGAAUCUUGCGCAAUGGGCGAAAGCCUGACGCAGCGAUGCCGCGUGCGGGAUGAAGGCCUUCGGGUUGUAAACCGCUUUCAGCAGGGACGAAAUUGACGGUACCUGCAGAAGAAGCCCCGGCCAACUACGUGCCAGCAGCCGCGGUAAUACGUAGGGGCGGAGCGUUGUCCGGAGUUUAUUGGGCGUAAAGAGCUCGUAGGCGGUUCGGUAAGUCGGAUGUGAAAUCUCCACGCUCAACGUGGAGAGGCCAUUCGAUACUGCCGUGACUCGAGUCCGGUAGGGGAGUGUGGAAUUCCCGGUGUAGCGGUGAAAUGCGCAGAGAUCGGGAGGAACACCCGUAGCGAAGGCGGCACUCUGGGCCGGUACUGACGCUGAGGAGCGAAAGCGUGGGGAGCAAACAGGAUUAGAUACCCUGGUAGGCUCUGCU
This 450-nucleotide ribosomal RNA is filed under the name uncultured bacterium. RNAcentral's name for it is "bacterial SSU rRNA". It matches the Rfam family "Bacterial small subunit ribosomal RNA", at positions 335 to 801 of the family's 1533-position model. The record is from RNAcentral.